CCCCUCGCCCCGGCGUUGGGAGCCCCUCUAUGCCGGGCUGGAGCGGUGACCCCGCCGUCGUUCUCCGCCGCCGCCGCCGCGGUUGGUCACGUUGCACUCGGAGGCCAGCCCCGAGGUAUUCUCCCAACACGCCGGGGCCAUCGCCUACUUCUUGGCGGGUUAUUCUCGACCUCGCACUCUCCGCGGUCCCACCGGUUUCCUAAGGGGAUGUGUGACUAAUUUUACGCUAGUCCUGUUGUGUGCAUCAUCGCAGUUACCCAACUUCAUGUGCAGAUUUCAGAAUAAACACAUCCCCAGUU
Molecule: long non-coding RNA, 299 nt
Organism: Mesocricetus auratus (golden hamster)
Lineage: Eukaryota; Metazoa; Chordata; Mammalia; Rodentia; Cricetidae
Exons: 2
Source: RefSeq, a predicted model, not a curated record